This 396-nucleotide ribosomal RNA is filed under the name Salmonella enterica subsp. enterica serovar Infantis. Its description in RNAcentral is "partial 23S ribosomal RNA". It matches the Rfam family "Bacterial large subunit ribosomal RNA", at positions 161 to 593 of the family's 2925-position model. Lineage: Bacteria; Pseudomonadati; Pseudomonadota; Gammaproteobacteria; Enterobacterales; Enterobacteriaceae. RNAcentral also lists the same sequence under 6 other names. The record is from RNAcentral.
AAUCCAUAGGUUAAUGAGGCGAACCGGGGGAACUGAAACAUCUAAGUACCCCGAGGAAAAGAAAUCAACCGAGAUUCCCCCAGUAGCGGCGAGCGAACGGGGAGGAGCCCAGAGCCUGAAUCAGCAUGUGUGUUAGUGGAAGCGUCUGGAAAGGCGCGCGAUACAGGGUGACAGCCCCGUACACAAAAGCGCAUGUGCUGUGAGCUCGAUGAGUAGGGCGGGACACGUGGUAUCCUGUCUGAAUAUGGGGGGACCAUCCUCCAAGGCUAAAUACUCCUGACUGACCGAUAGUGAACCAGUACCGUGAGGGAAAGGCGAAAAGAACCCCGGCGAGGGGAGUGAAAAAGAACCUGAAACCGUGUACGUACAAGCAGUGGGAGCACAGGUUUACCUGUG